RNAcentral lists this ribosomal RNA (1380 nucleotides) under Pseudoalteromonas sp. S410. RNAcentral's name for it is "partial 23S ribosomal RNA". It matches the Rfam family "Bacterial large subunit ribosomal RNA", at positions 1586 to 2925 of the family's 2925-position model. Lineage: Bacteria; Pseudomonadati; Pseudomonadota; Gammaproteobacteria; Alteromonadales; Pseudoalteromonadaceae. The record is from RNAcentral.
UGAAGUUGCUGAUGCCAUACUUCCAGGAAAAGCCUCUAAGCUUCAGAUUAUACCGAAUCGUACCCCAAACCGACACAGGUGGUCAGGUAGAGAAUACUAAGGCGCUUGAGAGAACUCGGGUGAAGGAACUAGGCAAAAUCGUACCGUAACUUCGGGAGAAGGUACGCUCCUAUCUGUGAUGAGACUUGCUCUCUAAGCGGACGGGAGCCGCAGUGACCAGGUGGCUGGGACUGUUUAUUAAAAACACAGCACUGUGCAAAAUCGCAAGAUGACGUAUACGGUGUGACACCUGCCCGGUGCCGGAAGGUUAAUUGAUGGGGUUAUCUUCGGAGAAGCUCUUGAUCGAAGCCCCGGUAAACGGCGGCCGUAACUAUAACGGUCCUAAGGUAGCGAAAUUCCUUGUCGGGUAAGUUCCGACCUGCACGAAUGGUGUAACCAUGGCCACGCUGUCUCCACCCGAGACUCAGUGAAAUUGAAAUCGCAGUGAAGAUGCUGUGUACCCGCGGCUAGACGGAAAGACCCCGUGAACCUUUACUACAGCUUGGCACUGAACAUUGAACCUACAUGUGUAGGAUAGGUGGGAGACUUUGAAGAUGAGACGCUAGUCUUGUUGGAGUCGUCCUUGAAAUACCACCCUUGUAGUUUUGAUGUUCUAACGUUGGCCCCUGAAUCGGGGUUACGGACAGUGCCUGGUGGGUAGUUUGACUGGGGCGGUCUCCUCCCAAAGAGUAACGGAGGAGCACGAAGGUUGGCUAAGUACGGUCGGACAUCGUACGGUUAGUGUAAUGGUAGAAGCCAGCUUAACUGCGAGACAGACACGUCGAGCAGGUACGAAAGUAGGUCAUAGUGAUCCGGUGGUUCUGAAUGGAAGGGCCAUCGCUCAACGGAUAAAAGGUACUCCGGGGAUAACAGGCUGAUACCGCCCAAGAGUUCAUAUCGACGGCGGUGUUUGGCACCUCGAUGUCGGCUCAUCACAUCCUGGGGCUGAAGUCGGUCCCAAGGGUAUGGCUGUUCGCCAUUUAAAGUGGUACGCGAGCUGGGUUUAGAACGUCGUGAGACAGUUCGGUCCCUAUCUGCCGUGGGCGUUUGAGAAUUGAGAGGGGUUGCUCCUAGUACGAGAGGACCGGAGUGAACGAACCGCUGGUGUUCGGGUUGUCAUGCCAAUGGCAUUGCCCGGUAGCUACGUUCGGAACUGAUAAGCGCUGAAAGCAUCUAAGCGCGAAGCAGGCCUCGAGAUGAGUUCUCACUAGACUUUUAAAGUCUCUGAAGGGCCGUUGAAGACUACAACGUUGAUAGGCAAGAUGUGGAAGUGGUGUGAGCCAUUAAGCUAACUUGUACUAAUUACCCGUGAGGCUUAACCAUACAACGCCAAACGCGUUU